AUGAACGCUGGCGGCGUGCUUAACACAUGCCAGUCGAACGGAAAGGCCGAAGCUUGCUUCGGUACUCGAGUGGCGAACGGGUGAGUAACACGUGGGUGAUCUGCCCUGUACUUCGGGAUAAGCUUGGGAAACUGGGUCUAAUACCGGAUAUGACGAUCUCUUGGAUGGGGUUGUGGAAAGCUUUUGCGGUAUGGGAUGAGCUCGCGGCCUAUCAGCUUGUUGGUGGGGUAAUGGCCUACCAAGGCGUCGACGGGUAGCCGGCCUGAGAGGGUGUACGGCCACAUUGGGACUGAGAUACGGCCCAGACUCCUACGGGAGGCAGCAGUGGGGAAUAUUGCACAAUGGGCGCAAGCCUGAUGCAGCGACGCCGCGUGGGGGAUGACGGCCUUCGGGUUGUAAACUCCUUUCGCAAUCGACGAAGCCUUUUGGUGACGGUAGGUUGAGAAGAAGCACCGGCUAACUACGUG
RNAcentral lists this ribosomal RNA (467 nucleotides) under uncultured bacterium. Its description in RNAcentral is "partial 16S ribosomal RNA". It matches the Rfam family "Bacterial small subunit ribosomal RNA", at positions 29 to 507 of the family's 1533-position model. The record is from RNAcentral.